RNAcentral lists this transfer RNA (71 nucleotides) under Bos taurus (domestic cattle). It matches the Rfam family "tRNA". From Rfam's summary of the family: Transfer RNA (tRNA) molecules are approximately 80 nucleotides in length. Their secondary structure includes four short double-helical elements and three loops (D, anti-codon, and T loops). RNAcentral also lists the same sequence under 4 other names. The record is from Rfam by way of RNAcentral. Lineage: Eukaryota; Metazoa; Chordata; Mammalia; Artiodactyla; Bovidae.
UCCUCAUAGCUCAGUUGGUAAAGAAUCUGACUGCAAAGCAGGAGACCCUGGUUCGAUUCCUGGGUCAGGAA